AUUGAACGCUGGCGGCAGGCCUAACACAUGCAAGUCGAGCGAGCGGCGGACGGGUGAGUAAUGUCUGGGAAGCUGUCCGAUGGAGGGGGAUAACUACUGGAAACGGUAGCUAAUACAGCAUACCAUCAGAUGUGCCCAGAUGGGAUUAGCUGGUAGGUGGGGUAAAGGCUCACCUAGGCGACGAUCCCUAGCUGGUCUGAGAGGAUGACCAGCCACACUGGAAAUGAGACACGGUCCAGACUCCUACGGGAGGCAGCAGUGGGGAAUAUUGCACAAUGGGCGCAAGCCUGAUACAGCCAUGCCGCGUGUAUGAAGAAGGCCUUCGGGUUGUAAAGUACUUUCAGCGGGGAGGCGUUACCCGCAGAAGAAGCACCGGCUAACUCCGGGCCAGCAGCCGCGGUAAUUC
RNAcentral lists this ribosomal RNA (406 nucleotides) under uncultured bacterium. Its description in RNAcentral is "partial 16S ribosomal RNA". It matches the Rfam family "Bacterial small subunit ribosomal RNA", at positions 30 to 526 of the family's 1533-position model. The record is from RNAcentral.